Molecule: ribosomal RNA, 396 nt
Filed under: uncultured bacterium
Lineage: Bacteria
Description: partial 16S ribosomal RNA
Rfam family: Bacterial small subunit ribosomal RNA
Source: RNAcentral
AUACGUAGGGGACGAGCGUUGUCCGGAAUUACUGGGCGUAAAGGGCGCGCAGGCUGUGCUGCAAGUCAGCUGUUAAAUGUCUGGGCUUAACCCGGGCAUGCGGUUGAGACUGCGGUGCUGGAGUGCUGUAGAGGCAAGUGGAAUUCCCAGUGUAGCGGUGAAAUGCGUAGAUAUUGGGAAGAACACCGGUGGCGAAGGCGGCUUACUGGACUGUAACUGACGCUGAGGCGCGAAAGUGUGGGGAGCAAACAGGUUUAGAUACCCUGGUAGUCCACACUGUAAACGAUGAAUGCUAGGUGUAGGGGGUAUCGACCCCUUCUGUGCCGCAGUCAACACAAUAAGCAUUCCGCCUGGGGAGUACGGCCGCAAGGUUGAAACUCAAAUGAAUUGACGGGG